Molecule: Y RNA, 102 nt
Filed under: Saimiri boliviensis boliviensis (Bolivian squirrel monkey)
Lineage: Eukaryota; Metazoa; Chordata; Mammalia; Primates; Cebidae
Description: Y RNA (ENSSBOG00000007300.1)
Rfam family: Y RNA
About the family: Y RNAs are components of the Ro ribonucleoprotein particle (Ro RNP), in association with Ro60 and La proteins.
Source: Rfam by way of RNAcentral
GGCUGGCCCGAGUGAAGCAGUGUUUACAACUAAUUGAUCACAACCAGUGACAGAUUUCUUUGCUUCUUCUCCACUCCCACUGCUUCACUCGACUAGCCUUUA